ACCCUUUUACCUCUCUACCAGCCAAACAACGACAGAAUUAUCCAAAAAAUUAUGCUGUUUUAGACUGAUUUCCAUUACAAUAUUUCCAACUCUGUUAUUUAAAACCCUGUUUGCUAUAGAGAUAAAAACAAUUCAUGGAAUUGGCAGCUGAUUUGGUACAUUUCAAACUGAUUCAGUUACACAGUCUCUGAUUAUGUUAUUUAAAACCCUGCCCCCAACCUUUUAUUUUCUCCUAUCCCCCAUUUUAUUCUCUUCACUCCUCUCCCAAAAAAAA
Molecule: unclassified non-coding RNA, 274 nt
Filed under: Hevea brasiliensis (rubber tree)
Lineage: Eukaryota; Viridiplantae; Streptophyta; Magnoliopsida; Malpighiales; Euphorbiaceae
Source: RNAcentral